Molecule: ribosomal RNA, 483 nt
Filed under: uncultured bacterium
Lineage: Bacteria
Description: bacterial SSU rRNA
Rfam family: Bacterial small subunit ribosomal RNA
Source: RNAcentral
GAUGAACGCUAGCGGCAGGCCUAACACAUGCAAGUCGAGGGGCAGCACGGGUAGCAAUACUGGGUGGCGACCGGCGCACGGGUGAGUAACGCGUAUGCAACCUGCCCCCGUCUGGGGAAUAGCCCGUCGAAAGGCGGAUUAAUGCCCCAUGGUUCCGGAGACCGGCAUCGGUUUUCGGAUAAAGGUUACGGACGGGGAUGGGCAUGCGUGCCAUUAGCUAGUUGGGGGGGUAACGGCCCACCAAGGCGACGAUGGCUAGGGGAGCUGAGAGGCUGAACCCCCCACACUGGUACUGAGACACGGACCAGACUCCUACGGGAGGCAGCAGUGAGGAAUAUUGGUCAAUGGGCGGAAGCCUGAACCAGCCAUGCCGCGUGCAGGAAGACGGCCCUACGGGUUGUAAACUGCUUUUCUGCGGGAAGAACGGCCCCUACGUGUAGGGGUGUGACGGUACCGCAGGAAUAAGGAUCGGCUAACUCCGUG